AGUGAACGCUGGCGGUAGGCCUAACACAUGCAAGUCGAACGGCAGCACAGUAAGAGCUUGCUCUUGCGGGUGGCGAGUGGCGGACGAGUGAGGAAUACAUCGGAAUCUACUUUUUCGUGGGGGAUAACGUAGGGAAACUUACGCUAAUACCGCAUACGACCUACGGGUGAAAGCAGGGGAUCUUCGGACCUUGCGCGAUUGAAUGAGCCGAUGUCGGAUUAGCUAGUUGGCGGGGGAAAGGCCCACCACGGCGACGAUCCGUAGCUGGUCUGAGAGGAUGGUCAGCCACACUGGAACUGAGACACGGUCCAGACUCCUACGGGAGGCAGCAGUGGGGAAUAUUGGACAAUGGGCGCAAGCCUGAUCCAGCCAUACCGCGUGGGUGAAGAAGGCCUUCGGGUUGUAAAGCCCUUUUGUUGGGAAAGAAAAGCAGCAGGUUAAUACCCCGCUGUUCUGACGGUACCCAAAGAAUAAGCACCGGCUAACUUCGUG
This 492-nucleotide ribosomal RNA is filed under the name uncultured bacterium. RNAcentral's name for it is "partial 16S ribosomal RNA". It matches the Rfam family "Bacterial small subunit ribosomal RNA", at positions 29 to 507 of the family's 1533-position model. The record is from RNAcentral.